RNAcentral lists this ribosomal RNA (486 nucleotides) under uncultured bacterium. Its description in RNAcentral is "partial 16S ribosomal RNA". It matches the Rfam family "Bacterial small subunit ribosomal RNA", at positions 29 to 507 of the family's 1533-position model. The record is from RNAcentral.
AUUGAACGCUGGCGACAUGCCUUACACAUGCAAGUCGAACGGCAGCACGGGUGCUUGCACCUGGUGGCGAGUGGCGAACGGGUGAGUAAUACAUCGGAACAUGUCCUGUAGUGGGGGAUAGCCCGGCGAAAGCCGGAUUAAUACCGCAUACGAUCUACGGAUGAAAGCGGGGGACCUUCGGGCCUCGCGCUAUAGGGUUGGCCGAUGGCUGAUUAGCUAGUUGGUGGGGUAAAGGCCUACCAAGGCGACGAUCAGUAGCUGGUCUGAGAGGACGACCAGUCACACGGGUAGUGAGACACGGCCAAGACUCCGAGGGGAGGCAGAAGGGGGGAUUUUUGGAGAAGGGGCAAAGGCGUGAUCGAGCAAUGCCGCGUGGGGGAAGAAGGCCUUGGGGUUGUAAAGCACUUUUGCCGGAAAAGAAUCCUUGGGCCCAAAUAGGGGCGGGGGAGGAGGGUACGGAAAGAAAAACACCCGGCUAACCACGUG